GACUUCGUGGUGUAAUGGUCAGCACACUGAGCCGGUAUUUCAGAGGUCCGCGGUUCGAUUCCCGGCGAAGGCG
RNAcentral lists this transfer RNA (73 nucleotides) under Stegodyphus mimosarum. It matches the Rfam family "tRNA". Rfam says of the family: Transfer RNA (tRNA) molecules are approximately 80 nucleotides in length. Their secondary structure includes four short double-helical elements and three loops (D, anti-codon, and T loops). Further hydrogen bonds mediate the characteristic L-shaped molecular structure. tRNAs have two regions of fundamental functional importance: the anti-codon, which is responsible for specific mRNA codon recognition, and the 3' end, to which the tRNAs corresponding amino acid is attached (by aminoacyl-tRNA synthetases). tRNAs cope with the degeneracy of the genetic code in two manners: having more than one tRNA (with a specific anti-codon) for a particular amino acid; and 'wobble' base-pairing, i.e. permitting non-standard base-pairing at the 3rd anti-codon position. Lineage: Eukaryota; Metazoa; Arthropoda; Arachnida; Araneae; Eresidae. The record is from Rfam by way of RNAcentral.